This 618-nucleotide ribosomal RNA is filed under the name uncultured bacterium. Its description in RNAcentral is "bacterial SSU rRNA". The stretch from base 1 to 535 matches the Rfam family "Bacterial small subunit ribosomal RNA", at positions 338 to 873 of the family's 1533-position model. The record is from RNAcentral.
CCUACGGGAGGCAGCAGUAAGGAAUAUUGGUCAAUGGACGCAAGUCUGAACCAGCCAUGCCGCGUGAAGGAUUAAGGUCCUCUGGAUUGUAAACUUCUUUUAUCUGGGACGAAAAAAGGCGAUUCUUCGUCACUUGACGGUACCAGAUGAAUAAGCACCGGCUAACUCCGUGCCAGCAGCCGCGGUAAUACGGAGGGUGCAAGCGUUAUCCGGAUUCACUGGGUUUAAAGGGUGCGUAGGCGGGCAGGUAAGUCAGUGGUGAAAUCCUAGAGCUUAACUCUAGAACUGCCAUUGAUACUAUCUGUCUUGAAUAUUGUGGAGGUAAGCGGAAUAUGUCAUGUAGCGGUGAAAUGCUUAGAUAUGACAUAGAACACCUAUUGCGAAGGCAGCUUACUACGCAUAUAUUGACGCUGAGGCACGAAAGCGUGGGGAUCAAACAGGAUUAGAUACCCUGGUAGUCCACGCCCUAAACGAUGAUUACUCGACAUUUGUGAUACACUAUAAGUGUCUGAGCGAAAGCAUUAGGUAAUCCACCGNGGAGUACGACCGCGAGUUAGUAACGUUAAAGUAAGUAGUAGACGUAGAGAGAGCGACGGACGACGACGACGGAGGGAGGAG